UAAAAAGUUUUUUUUUUUUUUUUUUUUUUUUUGUAGAAUUGAUUUUCGUUUGAAAAAAUAAUUUGUUAAUGGUUAUAGUGCGUUUAGCUGAAUUUAAAUAUAAAAGUGAUUUUUCAGAAGUGAUUUUGUAAAGUUGUUUGGCAAAAUUUUUAUGAUUUUUGCAUAUAAUAAUAUUUUUACUAAAUUUUAUUUUAAAAUUUAAAUUUGUAAAGAAUUUAAAAUUCGAUGUUUUAAUUUUAAAAAUAAAAUUUCAAAUUUUAAAUUUUAUCUUAAAUUUAAAAUUUAAAAUUUUAAUAUCUAAAUUUUAAAUUUUAAAUUUUAAAAGUUGAAAUUAAAAAAAUCAAAAAUGAAUUUAAAAAUUUAAAUUUAAACUUUGAAUCAAAAAUUAAAGUAAAAAUUUAAAGUUUGAGUUCAAAAUCAGAAUAUGAUUUUAAGAGGAAAGAUUUUAGUUGCUUCUGAUUUUAGGUGAUCUAAAAAAUCAGAAAACCGAUUCUAAAAAUUAGAAUUAAAAUUUGAAAACUAAAUUGUCAAAUACUCUAUUGAGCGAAAAAUUACUUUUGAACUCAGAAUUACUUUUGGACACCUAAGCCAAACAUCUUGUUUGGUAUGGUAUAGAGUUUGAACUCUCUUAUUAAAGAGUAAGGACUACAGGUAGAUAGAUGUAAUUAAGAACUUCAUGAACAGGGCAAAACUAGUAUUUUCACUCUUAUGAAGCACGGUUUAAGAUCUCGAUUUACAAAUUAAAUCGAUCAAUCACCUUCUAAGAUGGAAAAAGAUGUGUCAGGGCAAAUGUGACUAGACAUGGGUCUGUUGGCGGCUCAUGAAAUUAAAUGCGAAAACGAAUGUGCUCCCUGUUGCAGUAGCAGCUGCGCCGGUGCAUGUCGAUUCCUGGUGUUUGCUAAUCGGCAUAUAUCAGUGAUUUAGAUUUGAUAGGAGAAAGAAAGAAACCUACCAAAAUUACGUAGGGCCCAGAUGGAGAGCGAUUCUUCUAACUGGAGGUGAAUAACGCAGUGUCCUCAUAUCAAUUAUACAUCCACUUUGUUUCUAUUAGAAAUUGCAGGCAUAGUGUGCAUCACAUGUGAUGAAUAAGAACGAUAGAAAAAAUAUUCUCUUUGUUUCUGAGAGUGAUAGCGCAAAACACAACCAAUUCCAUUGAAAUAUGAUUUUUUUUUUUUUCUCGACUAAUUGAUCAUCCGCUCCUGUUAGAUCCAGCUGAGUAGCUAAGAUUACUUUAGAGACUAUUUGAAUAUUGUAUGUAGUUGUAAUUAAAUGUAUAUUUUAAUUUGGUGUCUACAGUUUGAUACAUUUAAAUUCAACUGCCAUAGUUAUAACGGCAGCACUUUCGACUACAUCUAAUAUAUUAAACAAGAUGUCUAUAGUCAUAAAUAGUCCUGCAUUUUAAGUUGCAUGUAUAUAUUUCCAACUAUAAUAUAUUUACAAAUACAUCUAAACAAAUGGUCUCUUGCAUAUUAUGUUGUCAUUGUAAUGAUCAUUAGAUGAGUGACUAUUCUUUUUCUUCUUUUUUUCAUCUCUUAUUGUUGUUAUCCUUCCUUCGUUCCUUUGUUGGAGUCAUGUUGAGGCAGGAGUGACUAAUUGUGGUGCAUUGCCAUGAAUUAUCACUUUCAAACCUCUCGAGAAUCUCCAAAGUGCAGUACACGAUAAAGAAUAUGAAGAUAGUGUAAUUGUUGCACGAGAUACACGAGCCUUCAUAAGAUUAAAAAUGAACGGUGACAAUAUUUGGUCCUAUAAAACAAGAUCUCCUUGGGGCCCCUCAAUUAGCCUCCUCUCUCAUCUUGCCCUCCAAAUCUGUUGUCUUGUGAGGCCCAGGAAUGAUAUGUUUAGGCUACCACAAAUAUUUUGUCUACAAUGUAUAACCUGAAAAAUACAUUAUUUUGGUGACUAUCACUAUUUAAAACACUUAAUUCAUAUCCAACUACUUAAACUAGGACGGACCGUCCCUAGCGCAAGCAACUACUUGAACUAGGACAGACCGUUCCUAGCACAAGUAGCAAAGGACUUAAUGGUUAAUUAGUACCCGAGUUUCAAAUUCGAAUCCUAAUUGAUUUAUAUUUUCAGCUAAAUUUAUUUUUUUUAAAAUAAAUAAAGCGGAUAGCAUGUUAUCUUUUUCUCCCAACUAUUUGAACUAGGCAUGUUACAAUUGAAGUCACUAUUGGAGUAUUGGGUGGAAAUGAGUGUGUGCUCAAAAAACUCAAAAAGAGUCGAAGUGGCCCCACCAAAGUUUUGCCCAUAAUUGGAAGAUUAGAAGUUAAGAGGUUUUUUGUGCACAUUUAUAUAUUACUGAUAAAACCCUUUUUUUUUAGGGGGUGUUUGAACUUUGAAGAUGAUAAAGUUACAAAUUAAUAAAAAAUUAUUAUUUCUAUAUUAUUUUUCACAAUAUUAAUUUUGUACGAAGUGUUAACACCAUUAGUAGAGUUCAAUUGAAGUAAAGGAUAUUCGAAGUGAUAUUAUUGGUUUUGUUCCACUGACAUUUUACGGAGACAAAAAUCUUUUCUAAAAUUGUUACAACAUUAAUCUCCCUUAAAACUUAUUUUCGUAGUUAUUUUAUUUGUGUGGUAAUAUGAUUUGUUGAUUGGUAUGUACGUAACUCAAAUUUUAUCCUCUCAAUAGAGGAGGAUUGGAAUAGCUCAGUCCCCAUAUUAAUUUAGUCAAUAAUUUAAGAAGCGUAAGUUGUUAUUAAUAAAUUGAAAUAAGUCAAUGUUUUAAUGAUAAUUUUGAUUGUUCUAGCAUUACAGCGGAUUCUCUAAAGUGUUACUCUUACAUGCUAGUAUAGAAAAUACACAUGAUGUGGGAAGUAGUAAUUAAAUAAAUUUAAGGAUAAACUUCAAAUACCACUCGUGUGGUUUUGUAUUUUCUCACUUUAAUACCAUAUGGUUUAAAAUGUAUCAAGUUAGUAUCAUGUCGUUAAACUAUACGCAAAAAACUUCAAAUAUCCCACUUAGGUUUAUUGAUAUUCACUUUAGUACUUUUUAGUUUUAACUUUGUCACUGAUUUAACGAAGAAAAAUUAGUGAAAUGGAUAAUAAAAAGAGAAGAAUGAAACCACAGGAUACUAAUUCGUUACACUUUAAACCACAGAAUACUAAAAUGAAAAAGUGUGAAAUCGCAUGAAUAAUAUUUGAAAUUUUUUUUAAAUUUAAAAACACAUCAACAGAUCAGAAGAAAAGUCCGUCUCGAGGGGCGUCCAAAUCAUCAUCGAUUUCGCAUUCAAUUCUCACCACCUGUGGACGGAGGAAUACUACACGGUCGCACUUGCACCACGUCAUUAAUAAUAAGCCAAUCAUACAUCUACUUUUCAAACAAAAAUAUAAUAAAAAUAUUUUUUUACAAUCAUGAUGAAAUAUAUAUUUAUAAAAAAAAAUAUUUAAUUAAUUUAUUACGCCACGUCAAUAAUAUACCCGUCGCAUUAUAGAAUUUUUCCUCCGGACGAGAGGACACCGACCUCCGCCAACCCCACAAGAAAAAUGAAGGUUGAAGCAGCCACCCACGUGGGUUGUCCCCUACUUGCUCUUUGCCCAUCGCGGUCCAAGUCACACGCACCGAAAAGAACUGAUAACAAAUUAGUACCUGGCCACUGCAUCAAAAAAAAAAAAAAAAAAAAAAAAAAAAAGCAUACAACUCUCUUAUAUGAACCAAGUUUUCAUCGUAUAUCGUACGUAGACAACUAAUUAAUGUUGAAUGCAAUGGUUUGCUUGCUUUUCAUUUUGGCUAUUUUUAAGGGGGAGGAUUACUUACUAUUUUGUUUGCUUUUUGUUGGAGCCAGUUUUUGUGAAUCCUACGUUUAGUUCAUCGAUCGCAAGUAAAGAAAGGGGUUAUCUCGGUAAUUUAAUAAUAAGAUAAAUUUUAGUUUUUUUUUUUGUUUUAGCAUAUUUUUAUUUUGUCACUCUGUCGUUUAAAAAUUACGCUUAACUAUUUUACAUUUUUACAAAUCUGUUAUAAAAUAAGAUAACAAAGUAAUUUUUUUUUAAAUCGCGAAUAUAUUCAGUUUAAUGAUAGAUCGUCAUAGUGAAAUAAAAAUAAAAUUAUUAGAGUAUUAAGUAUAAUUUUUUGAAUUUAUAUGAGGCAAAUAAAAGCAAUGCGCGUACGGGUUGAUGUUCUAGUUUGAGCUUAAUGUAAGACACGGCGCUGGAUUCAGGUGUAAAGAGGAUAGAUAAAACAUUACGGGCUGGGCCUCAACCUGGUUGGGUUCAAAAAAUGAAUCCUGUCUUGGCGCACUGCAUAUAUUUUUUGCUUUUGGCAACCAAGAUGAAGGUCUAAAUCCUCUUUUUUCUCUUUUUUAAUGUGUAAGCGAAGCUUGAUUUGCAUCACACAUUGGACACAUACUGUUGAAAUCACUCUAAAGAAGAUUUAAUAUA
This 4372-nucleotide long non-coding RNA is filed under the name Ananas comosus (pineapple). RNAcentral's name for it is "long non-coding RNA (ACOM_LNC006190)". The record is from RNAcentral. Lineage: Eukaryota; Viridiplantae; Streptophyta; Magnoliopsida; Poales; Bromeliaceae.